GAGCCCCUUCUCUCUAG
RNAcentral lists this transfer RNA (17 nucleotides) under Salmo salar (Atlantic salmon). RNAcentral describes it as "partial tRNA-Gln". The record is from RNAcentral. Lineage: Eukaryota; Metazoa; Chordata; Actinopteri; Salmoniformes; Salmonidae.